This is an RNA transcript of Acanthochromis polyacanthus (spiny chromis), 3473 nucleotides long. It is a transcript of the gene named protein asteroid homolog 1-like, with no coding region annotated. The transcript has 7 exons. Lineage: Eukaryota; Metazoa; Chordata; Actinopteri; Pomacentridae. The record is from RefSeq and is a predicted model, not a curated record.
AUUUAAUUCUUUUUUGACUUCUUUUAUUUUUUUGACAUUUCAGGACAUUUUUUCAGAUAUUUAAUUUAUGUUCACAGUUUUUAUUAAUGAACUUUUGAUAAUUCUUUCAUAUUUUUAGAGAUUGUUCUGACAUUUCAUGCAUUUUCUUGCAAUUUUUUGGCUUUUGAUUAAUAUCUUUUGGCCAUCUUGUUCAACAGGUAUUAAUGGCACAUCUCAUCAUUUAUUUUUUUUUUAUUCUAUUAAUAAUAUUACUGUUAAUAACUUUGGGCCAUUUUAAGACAUUUAGUUAAUUUUCAAGAAUUUUAUGUGCGCAAACAUAUAAAUAGUAACAUGAAAACACCCUCCUGUAAAGAUAUAAAACCCGCCCCAUGCUGUGAUGUCAUGAAAACGAAACUUAAGAAAGGGAGACGCUGGAGGAGCCUCUGCUCAGUCUGUAAACUCACACCAAGAUGGGAGUUGAAGGUCUGGAUACCUUCUUAGACGACCACCGGAGCGUUUACCGGGAUGUCGAGUUCAGGAUGAACCGGCUGGUGGUGGACGGAUCCAACCUGAUCCAGCUGUUGUACUACAACUCAGGUCUGGACCAGAAUCACGGCGGGGAGUAUGCUGCCUUUGAGGCCCUGAUUGAAAGGUUCAUAGCAGCACUCAGAACCUGUGAGGUUACUCCAUAUGUGGUUUUGGAUGGAGGAUCAGAUCUCACAGACAAGAAGCUUGAAACCGUGACAAAGAGAAUUGAGUCCCAGAUCAAGAAGGCCCAUCAAGCAGCGGUGAGCGGCGGGGCAAAGAAUAUCCUGCCGCCACUGGCCAAGCUUGUGUUCAAACAGACACUGGCCCGACUGGAGGUUCCAGUGGCCCAGUGCUUCGGAGAGGCUGACCAGGAGAUAGCCGCUCUGGCCUCUGAGUGGAACUGCCCAGUGCUUUCUGGUGACAGCGAUUUCUACAUCUUUGACCUCCCAGCGGGGCUGCUGCCCUUCUGCUACUUCCGAUGGAAGAAUGUGAAGCAGGACGGCUCGCAGAGCUUCAUCUCCUGUAAGACGUACCACAUCUCCAGGUUCUGCAACGUCUUCAAGAUCCAGCAGAAACUCCUGCCCACCUUUGCUGUGCUUGGUGGGAAUGAUUACGUGAAUCUGCAGAGGAUCAGCUGGACUCAGUUCGCCCCAUCAUACAGCAAGACGCCCAACCGCCUGGAGGGACUGCUGUGCUGGCUGAAGGGCUUCCAACAGCCUCAGGAGGCCCUGGAGGCGGUGCUGGAGCUGAUGGGAGAAGUGCGUGAGAACAGCAAGGCAGAGCUGCUGAAGAACCUGUCAGAGGGGAUGGAGGAGUACCAGCUGCCCUCCAGCUCCUUGAAGGGGUUCUUCCUCAGUGGGAUGGUCCCAUUGUUCCCAGCAGUCAAAGAGGAGGUGGGUUCAAUCCAUCAGGUCCCGGACUGGAUUCGUCUACAACUGAGGCAGGCCCGACUGACCCCAGAUGUCCUGGAGGUGUUAUUGCUGAAAAGGAUGAGCCUCAGCAUCAUCAUGGGACACAAAGACCAGCCCAGUGUUAACCUGACCUCCAGGCCGCUCCGCCAGGUGAUGUACGAGCUGCUGCUGGGUGAACAGAGGUCAGUGCCUGUGGAGGAGAGGGACCGAGAGGGGCUAAAGCUGACGUUCAUUCCAGUAAAACCAACCUUCAGCAGGAUUGCUCAGGAGCUCAGACUCAACUCACUGAACGAGGCGAAGCUGUCUGAACGUCUCCAGGUUCUGCUGGAGGCCCUGAGGGUGACCGAGGCCACUCUGAAUAACCUGCCGCCUCAGCUGCGCCUCCCGGUGGCCGUCACCUGCUACUGGCUACGGAGAGCUCAGCCUCCUCCAGACCUGAAGCUGCUGAAUGUGCUGCUGCUGGGAAUGACCAACGAGGACGUAUUGAGAGCCAGAGAAGAUUUGCAGGCUGAACAUCCAAACGGUAAACCAGACCUGGAUGUGGCUCAUGCCUUCAACCAGUGGCAGGUCUGCCUUAGGGACAGCAUCCACCUGAACCAGCUGCUUGGCUUCCCUUUGCCUGAGCCGGAUGUUGCACGGUUGUAUCAGGGGACACUGGUCCACCAGCUGGUUCCCAGGAUGACUACAGGAGGAAGACAGAAGGCCUUCCUGAGGAGUGGCCGGUUCAGCCUGAAGCAGUACCACGCUAUGUUGUCCAUCAUCCAACAGUUUCAUGCCCAGGAGGAGUCCACACCCUCAGAGACCCGGCAGAGAGCAGCAGCACGGCAGCAUCCUCUCAAUGACCUCAUGGACAAUGAGGAAGUCAGCAGCACAGUGCGAGUGCAAGAGGAGCCGGAGCUGGUCGACCAAGUGUCAGUGAGAACUCGCUACAGAACCAAGGAGAGGAGAAACAGGAGCAACAAACCAGAGCUGGUCCGGAAGGAGGAUGAGUGCCGAGGCCAAGACCUCCUCUGAUAAACAGCUCGGCACUGACUGCUCUUUACUCAGCAAGACAUCAGAAAUCCUGUCAGGCCACUCCAGGUUUCAUCUUUCUGCUACUGAAUUUAUUCCUUUACAUGCAUUUCCCACAGGGAUGACAAGAUGAGUUCACGGGAAGUCUUGAGAUGGUACAACAAAACCAAAACGCAAAACUGAAUUCACUCAUUUUCCUAUGCUUUUGUUAAACAGAGGCAAAAUGAGAGUUUACAUGAAAGUACUUCACAUAAGUAAAUGCAAAUUAUUCGGUACAAUGAGUACUUCUACUGUUGAUGCUCAGACCUUUGUACUUUCAGUUAUUGCUGUAAAUUAAUCUAUACAUUUAGGCAAAUUUUCCUUUGUAUUUUUCAGAUUUUUUCCUCAAAUUUUAUAAUCCAGUAAAAUAUAAAUAACAUUACAAAAACGAACCAUAACAUUUUAAAUUUAGUUUUCACAUUUUAUUGUCAAUUUUGACGAAUAUACUCUUUUUAUUUAAUAGAUUAACUGAAUGUGAAAAGCAGUAAUCAAAGCAAAGGGUGGCUAUUUUGAAGAAUCUAAAAUAUGAAACAUGUUUUGACUUACCUCACACUUUGAGUUUACUACAUAAUUCCAUGUGUUCAUUGAUAGUUCUGAUGUCUUCAGGGAGAAUCUACAAUGUAAUUAGUCAUGAAAAUAAAGAAAAAACAUUAAAUGAGAAGGUGUGUCCAAACUUUUGACUGGUGGUGUGUGUUUUAAACUAGGUACAGUUGGUGACAAUUGGCAAAAGAAAACAAAAUAAUUGAUGUGUGUUUGUGGCAUCUUGUAUAUGUGUAGAAAAAUGUUGAAUGUCUUCAGUGUACAGAGUAUGUAUUUGCUAAUUUAUCAAAAUACAGAUAUCAUUCUGUAUAUUAUUUAUCAUUAUCUGUCUCAUUUUAUACAUCCAUCCACACACACACAUAUACGUGUAUGUGUGUGUGUGUGUGUGUGUGUGUGUGUGUGUGUGUGUGUGUGUGUGUGUGUGUGUGUGUGUGUGUGUGUGUGUGUGUGUGUGUGUGUGGACAA